RNAcentral lists this ribosomal RNA (445 nucleotides) under uncultured bacterium. RNAcentral's name for it is "partial 16S ribosomal RNA". It matches the Rfam family "Bacterial small subunit ribosomal RNA", at positions 354 to 796 of the family's 1533-position model. The record is from RNAcentral.
GUGAGGAAUAUUGGUCAAUGGACGAGAGUCUGAACCAGCCAAGUCGCGUGAAGGAAGACGGUUCUAUGAAUUGUAAACUUCUUUUGUGCAGGAAUAAAGUGGGUUACGUGUAACCUUUUGUAUGUACUGUACGAAUAAGGAUCGGCUAACUCCGUGCCAGCAGCCGCGGUAAUACGGAGGAUCCGAGCGUUAUCCGGAUUUAUUGGGUUUAAAGGGUGCGUAGGUGGAUUGAUAAGUCAGCGGUGAAAGUUUGCAGCUUAACUGUAAAAUUGCCGUUGAAACUGUCGGUCUUGAGUGCAAAGGAGGUAGGCGGAAUGUGUUGUGUAGCGGUGAAAUGCUUAGAUAUAACACAGAACUCCGAUUGCGAAGGCAGCUUACUGGGAUGCAACUGACACUGAUGCACGAAAGCGUGGGUAUCAAACAGGAUUAGAAACCCCGGUAGUCC